UAACCUGGUUGAUCCUGCCAGUUAGUCAUAUGCUUGUCUCAAAGAUUAAGCCAUGCAUGUCUAAGUAUAAACACCUUUAUACUGUGAAACUGCGUACAGCUCAUUAUAUCAGUUAUCAUUUAUUUGAUGGUACCUUACCACAUGGAUACCCGUGGUAAUUCUAGAGCUAAUACAUGCGUAAAAUCUCGACUUU
This 193-nucleotide ribosomal RNA is filed under the name uncultured eukaryote. RNAcentral describes it as "partial 18S ribosomal RNA". It matches the Rfam family "Eukaryotic small subunit ribosomal RNA", at positions 1 to 190 of the family's 1831-position model. The record is from RNAcentral.